UCCUAGGAUUGUGGUCACACAGCAUGGGUGGCACCAACCACAGAGACUUUCUUGGAUCUAGAGGUUAGGAACGUGAAGUCGGGAUACUGGCUGGUCCCUCCACGUACUCUGGGUGAGGAACUUUUCUUACCACCUUCAGAAGAAAGUGGCUUUGUCUAGGUGGCCCUUGGCUGUGUGAUUGAUCUCUGCCCCUUCGUUCUCAUGACUUUCUCCUUUUUACAAGGACACUAGCUUUUCUGGAUCAGAGCCAUCCUAAUAGCCUCAUCUUGACAUCACUGUAUCUUUAAUAACCACCGUUACAGGUCAUGUUUGAAAGGGGUAGGACUUUCUCAUAUCUUUGGGGGAGACAUAAUAAAACACCAUAAUUAGUAAAGAAAUUUGAGUUGGAUCCACAUGAUGGGAUAUGUUUUUAAUCCUGGUACUGGGGAGGUAGAGGCAGGCAGAUCUCUGAGUUCAGGGCAAGCCAUUUGUACAUAGAUCUAGGCAGGUUAGGGCCACAUAGUGAGAUUUUUUUUUUUUUUAAACAGGGGGAAAAAAAAGUCUGGAAUCAUAUAUCCAAGUGCUUCACUGAUUCUGUGUGAUCUCCAACCACUAUCAACCAUGGGUUCUAAGUCCAUGCCCCUGUCUCCACAGGAACUUCAGGCUCAAUCCUUCUCCUACCUAUUUAGUCUCUGAAAUACUGAGACUGAAGUAAGGAGAAAUGCCUUAUUACCUAAGGCCCCCAGCACUGGAGUUAUAGGCAGAGCUUGACUUUUAGCAAUAACUAGGCUAUAUGUUUAUAGCCUAGACUUAAGAGCAGCCAGACCAGUUGCUCAAUUCUUUUUCCCAGCUCCCCAGGUUACAACACCCAGGGACAGUACCCUGAACAAGUUCCAGGGCUCACUGUAUAUAUUCAAGGACUCUUGGCUCUCUCCGUGGAGCUGGUUUUUGGCAGGUGGAAACCAAUUGGCCCAGGCUGAUCAUGGCUGCACUCAACCCAGCUUCAAUAUUUGGACAGGAGCAAGGCAUGUGUGCAGAGGCAGCAAGAGAGUUGAGAGGGUUUUAGCUCUGAGUGAGACUGAAGGGAUUUGACAUGUUAUUGAAUCCUGGUGCAAGAGGUGAACUCUGGGCCGCCACGCAUCCCAGGAAUGCGGAUGUAGCGCUCUCAGCGCAUAUCUGAAGCUGACAGGGGUUGACAGUCCCCAUCUGGGAACAAUAACCCAAGCUGCACGCCCGCCCGCCCGUCCGCCUGGCCUGGGCAGGGGCUGCUCCCUGACCCCGCCCCUUUCCACCUCCGGAGCCCUGACUCUAACGUGGUGCGCACAAGAAGGGAGUUUCGCCUCUCUUGCAGUCUCCUGAGUCCUGGGGACCGCUGAGCAGGGCAGGUUGUGGGAUACUUGUCAUUCCAGGAGCAGCAGGCUGCGACAUGGUCCAUUUCUCCUCUGGGAGACCUGAGUGGAACGCUGCGGGGAGGCAAUUUGGGAUGCCAACUGAUCACCCAGCCGGCUGUGGGUCUCCUCGCUUCAGGGAAGCCAGGGUAGUGAUGUAUUUGUGUCCCGGUGAAUACCUCGGGCAUUCUUUGUUCCCUUGGGGAGGCGCUUCCAUAGUGAAGUUCAAAGCACCCGCUCACAAGCCACGUACCCUAAUCCUCUCUCUGAUCUGGAUUUUGUUGUGUAACUAAACUGAUUACAAGACUUUGGCUGGCACUUGGGCUAGGCUGUGUCUUUGGGAUAGCCUCUCACAGGCUUCGUUGCCACGUGGUGAUACACCAGCUGAGGGCCCUGUGACGAUGUGGGGGAGUUUGUGAAGCAGCAAGAAAUCUGGGGCUGGGACCUCACAAUGGCAUUAGCCUACCUCACCCUUGCUAUGCACUGUGGCUUCUCUCUUCUUCCCUAGUCCUUGACGAGCAUCUCAGACCAUACGCGAUGCCAUUCCUGAGCCAGCCUUGUCCAACAACACUGUUCUUCCCACUCCUGUGUCUUUGAUUUCUGGUCUUCUCCAUAGUGGCAGCUCCUACCAAUGCCCAUAUUGUCCCAGCAAUCAGGCUUCUGUCCGAGAACCCAGAAUUCCAUGCCUCUACUGGGUAACUGUCCAUAAAUCACCACACCGCAGAGGUCCUUGGAGGCCCUGUGCAGGUUGGAGAGCUCUGCAUGAAGCUCGGGUCAAGAAUCUGCCAGCAAACGGCUGAGGAGCCUCAUGCUUGGUCCACUCUUGCCCUUCCACUGCAAACAUGCUAUUCCUAUGCUCUCUACCAGCACCAAUGGUUCUGCCCCCGGGAUGAUGAGCGAGCAGAAUAUUGGACAGACCAGAAGCAGGGCAAGUUCUUGCUGCAUAAAGGAUCUAACAGACAGUCUCCUGUGAGAAUAGAAGCUACGUCUUAAACUACAUCAGAGGCAAACGUGAGUGGUUCAGACAGGAACUGCUCAGACCACCAGCCUUUGGAGACUUUGGACUCUAUGGUGAAGCUUCUCUUUUCCUGUGCUGGCACAGCUGGAGCACCCAAUGUCCUCUGCAAGCUGCUCAUGAGAACCUGCCUCCCAUGUUGACAAGAUGUACCCAGUCCUGCACAGUGAUGGUACAGGGAAUUCAAAGCUAAGCAAGACCCUGCUGGUGCCGGACGCACAGACAUUCCUUCUCAGAAGUGUGAGCAGUUGUGCUUGGCCUGGAGCUUGUUCCUAGAAAAAGUUAAUGAAAUGUGAUGGUUUUCUUGAAAUUCU
Molecule: long non-coding RNA, 2696 nt
Organism: Rattus norvegicus (Norway rat)
Lineage: Eukaryota; Metazoa; Chordata; Mammalia; Rodentia; Muridae
Source: RefSeq, a predicted model, not a curated record